CCCUUAGAUGUUCUGGGCCGCACGCGCGCUACACUGACUACUUCAACGAGUUGUUUCCUUGAUCGAAAGGUCUGGGUAAUCUUUGAAAGGUAGUCGUGAUGGGGAUAGAUCCUUGCAAUUUUUGAUCUUCAACGAGGAAUUCCUAGUAAACGCAAGUCAUCAGCUUGCAUUGAUUACGUCCCUGCCCUUUGUACACACCGCCCGUCGCUCCUACCGAUUGAGUGUGUUGGUGAGGAGUUCGGAUUGGCAGCAGGUGGUGGUUCGCCACCGCCUAUUGCUGAGAAGUUCUCCAAACCGCCCCACUUAGAGGAAGGAGAAGUCGUAACA
RNAcentral lists this ribosomal RNA (327 nucleotides) under uncultured eukaryote. RNAcentral describes it as "partial 18S ribosomal RNA". It matches the Rfam family "Eukaryotic small subunit ribosomal RNA", at positions 1470 to 1796 of the family's 1831-position model. The record is from RNAcentral.